CGUACAAAGUGCACGUGUUGUUUAUGUUUGGCCCGAAGGAUAUACCACGUCUCUAACACGACGUUGUAGGUUAAAAGCUUAAUGAUACAAUAAGGUUAAUUGAAAAUACUUAUAAACUGUAAACAACAAUGUGAUAUUGUAAAUAGUUAUAAUGUGGAAUAUACUUACGAAGACAAACUCAAGGAAAACAACUCAACAGCUUUCACUAAGCUAUGUUUUGUUACAAGUUGAGAUAUUUUGCAAAUUUUUAACCACAAUUUCUAUGGAUUAAAUUAAUGGAAGUCAUAUUCACAAGACACAAGUAUUCCAAGAUCUGGUUAAUGACUAAAUGUACAAAUGAAGGUGCAACAUCCCAUUGGAAGAUAAAGUACAUUAUUGGCAAACAGAUACAGGUACAGGUACAAGCUAAUGAGUUCAGAAGUCUUCCAACAAAGUCUCAGCCACCAUAAAUGUCCGAUGCUGAGAAGAUAGAUAAAAUUGUGUAGGUCGGGCAUACCAUAGGUAACCACAUUAUUGUCGAGAUCAAUAGCAACUCAUUUUGCCAACCAGCACUCUGGCAACGCACACAUAUUAAUCUUUUUUGCAAAAAGAUGUUAACGAGAUGCUAGUCACAACAACUUAGUAAUAGGCAACGUUUAUAGCAUGGAGGCAUGUUUAACCAGGGAAUACUCAUCAUGUCAGAAAAUGGCAAUAUUUUGUGUUAUGGCGAUUCAUAUCAGUAA
Molecule: long non-coding RNA, 722 nt
Organism: Bombus terrestris (buff-tailed bumblebee)
Lineage: Eukaryota; Metazoa; Arthropoda; Insecta; Hymenoptera; Apidae
Exons: 3
Source: RefSeq, a predicted model, not a curated record